UCUCCGUUGGUGAACCAGCGGAGGGAUCAUUACAGAGUUAUCUAACUCCCAAACCCAUGUGAACUUACCAUUUGUUGCCUCGGCAGUGGUGUCUCUUCCCCGUCCGCGGGGAUGGGGGCAGCCUGCCGGUGGACUACCAAACUCUUGUUAUUUUAUUGUAAUCUGUGCGUCUUAUUUUAAUAAGUCAAAACUUUCAACAACGGAUCUCUUGGUUCUGGCAUCGAUGAAGAACGCAGC
This 237-nucleotide unclassified non-coding RNA is filed under the name uncultured fungus. RNAcentral describes it as "sequence contains ITS1, 5.8S rRNA gene". The stretch from base 189 to 237 matches the Rfam family "5.8S ribosomal RNA", at positions 1 to 49 of the family's 154-position model. Lineage: Eukaryota; Fungi. The record is from RNAcentral.